AGCGAACGCUGGCGGCAGGCCUAACACAUGCAAGUCGAACGAACCUUUCGGGGUUAGUGGCGGACGGGUGAGUAACACGUGGGAACGUGCCUUUAGGUUCGGAAUAACUCAGGGAAACUUGUGCUAAUACCGAAUGUGCCCUUCGGGGGAAAGAUUAAUCGCCUUUAGAGCGGCCCGCGUCUGAUUAGCUAGUUGGUUGAGGUAAUGGCUCACCAAGGCGACGAUCAGUAGCUGGUCUGAGAGGAUGAUCAGCCACAUUGGGACUGAGACACGGCCCAAACUCCUACGGGAGGCAGCAGUGGGGAAUCUUGCGCAAUGGGCGAAAGCCGACGCAGCCAUGCCGCGUGAAUGAUGAAGGUCUUAGGAUUGUAAAAUUCUUUCACCGGGGACGAUAAUGACGGUACCCGGAGAAGAAGCCCCGGCUAACUUCGUG
This 433-nucleotide ribosomal RNA is filed under the name uncultured bacterium. RNAcentral's name for it is "partial 16S ribosomal RNA". It matches the Rfam family "Bacterial small subunit ribosomal RNA", at positions 29 to 507 of the family's 1533-position model. The record is from RNAcentral.